This 500-nucleotide ribosomal RNA is filed under the name uncultured bacterium. Its description in RNAcentral is "partial 16S ribosomal RNA". It matches the Rfam family "Bacterial small subunit ribosomal RNA", at positions 30 to 523 of the family's 1533-position model. The record is from RNAcentral.
AUUGAACGCUGGCGGAAUGCUUUACACAUGCAAGUCGAACGGCAGCACGGACUUCGGUCUGGUGGCGAGUGGCGAACGGGUGAGUAAUGUAUCGGAACGUGCCCAGUCGUGGGGGAUAACGUAGUGAAAAUUACGCUAAUACCGCAUACGAUCUAUGGAUGAAAGCGGGGGGUCGCAAGACCUCGCGCGAUUGGAGCGGCCGAUAUCAGAUUAGGUAGUUGGUGGGGUAAAGGCCCACCAAGCCAGCGAUCGGUAGCUGGUCUGAGAGGACGACCAGCCACACCGGAACUGAGACACGGUACAGACUCCUACGGGAGGCAGCAGUGGGGAAUUUUGGACAAUGGGCGAAAGCCUGAUCAAGCCAUGCCGCGUGCAGGAUGAAGGCCCUCGGGUUGUAAACUGCUUUUGUACAGAACGAAAAGGUUUCUACUAAUACUAGGAGCUGAUGACGGUACUGGAAGAAUAAGCACCGGCUAACUACGUGCCAGCCGCCGCCGUAA